Molecule: small RNA, 340 nt
Filed under: Arabidopsis thaliana (thale cress)
Lineage: Eukaryota; Viridiplantae; Streptophyta; Magnoliopsida; Brassicales; Brassicaceae
Description: ATSL197280
Source: RNAcentral
CUCAUGUGUAGUAUUGAGUAUAAAAACUAGAACCGCAACUGGUUCCCAAAAGCAAAAGUAGUGUUUCCUUGUUAGAAGAUACAAAGCCAAAGACUCAUACGGACUUCGGCUACACCAUGAAAAUUUUGAGAAGCAAUAAGAAGCUUGGUUAGUGUUUUGGAGUCAAAUAUGACUAGAUGUCAUGUGUAUGAUUGAGAAUAAGAACUAGAAUGGCAACCGUUCCCAAUAGCUAAAGUUAUGUUUCCUUGUUAGAAGAUACAAAGCCAAAGACUCAUACGGACUUCGUGUACACCAUCAAAAUUUUGAGAAGCAAUAAGAAGCUUGGUUAGUAUUUUAGGGU